CGUCUGCUCUGAAAGCCCGGGGCUCAACCCCGGGUCUGCAGUGGGUACGGGCAGACUAGAGUGCAGUAGGGGAGACUGGAAUUCCUGGUGUAGCGGUGAAAUGCGCAGAUAUCAGGAGGAACACCGAUGGCGAAGGCAGGUCUCUGGGCUGUUACUGACGCUGAGGAGCGAAAGCAUGGGGAGCGAACAGGAUUAGAUACCCUGGUAGUCCAUGCCGUAAACGUUGGGCACUAGGUGUGGGGGACAUUCCACGUUUUCCGCGCCGUAGCUAACGCAUUAAGUGCCCCGCCUGGGGAGUACGGCCGCAAGGCUAAAACUCAAAGGAAUUGACGGGGGCCCGCACAAGCGGCGGAGCAUGCGGAUUAAUUCGAUGCAACGCGAAGAACCUUACCAAGGCUUGACAUUCACCGGACCGCCCCAGAGAUGGGGUUUCCCUUCGGGGCUGGUGGACAGGUGGUGCAUGGUUGUCGUCAGCUCGUGUCGUGAGAUGUUGGGUUAAGUCCCGCAACGAGCGCAACCCUCGUUCUAUGUUGCCAGCACGUGAUGGUGGGGACUCAUAGGAGACUGCCGGGGUCAACUCGGAGGAAGGUGGGGAUGACGUCAAAUCAUCAUGCCCCUUAUGUCUUGGGCUUCACGCAUGCUACAAUGGCCGGUACAAAGGGUUGCGAUACUGUGAGGUGGAGCUAAUCCCAAAAAGCCGGUCUCAGUUCGGAUUGAGGUCUGCAACUCGACCUCAUGAAGUCGGAGUCGCUAGUAAUCGCAGAUCAGCAACGCUGCGGUGAAUACGUUCCCGGGGCCUUGUACACACCGCCCCGUCAAGUCACGAAAAGUUGGUAACACCCCGAAGCCGGGU
Molecule: ribosomal RNA, 853 nt
Filed under: Kocuria rosea
Lineage: Bacteria; Bacillati; Actinomycetota; Actinomycetes; Micrococcales; Micrococcaceae
Description: bacterial SSU rRNA
Rfam family: Bacterial small subunit ribosomal RNA
Source: RNAcentral